Molecule: ribosomal RNA, 730 nt
Filed under: uncultured bacterium
Lineage: Bacteria
Description: bacterial SSU rRNA
Rfam family: Bacterial small subunit ribosomal RNA
Source: RNAcentral
AACAGGAUUAGAUACCCUGGUAGUCCACGCCGUAAACGAUGUCGACUUGGAGGUUGUGCCCUUGAGGCGUGGCUUCCGGAGCUAACGCGUUAAGUCGACCGCCUGGGGAGUACGGCCGCAAGGUUAAAACUCAAAUGAAUUGACGGGGGCCCGCACAAGCGGUGGAGCAUGUGGUUUAAUUCGAUGCAACGCGAAGAACCUUACCCACUCUUGACAUCCAGAGAACUUAGCAGAGAUGCUUUGGUGCCUUCGGGAACUCUGAGACAGGUGCUGCAUGGCUGUCGUCAGCUCGUGUUGUGAAAUGUUGGGUUAAGUCCCGCAACGAGCGCAACCCUUAUCCUUUGUUGCCAGCGGUUCGGCCGGGAACUCAAAGGAGACUGCCAGUGAUAAACUGGAGGAAGGUGGGGAUGACGUCAAGUCAUCAUGGCCCUUACGAGUAGGGCUACACACGUGCUACAAUGGCAUAUACAAAGAGAAGCGACCUCGCGAGAGCAAGCGGACCUCAUAAAGUAUGUCGUAGUCCGGAUUGGAGUCUGCAACUCGACUCCAUGAAGUCGGAAUCGCUAGUAAUCGUGGAUCAGAAUGCCACGGUGAAUACGUUCCCGGGCCUUGUACACACCGCCCGUCACACCAUGGGAGUGGGUUGCAAAAGAAGUAGGUAGCUUAACCUUCGGGAGGGCGCUUACCACUUUGUGAUUCAUGACUGGGGUGAAGUCGUAACAAGGUAACC